RNAcentral lists this unclassified non-coding RNA (350 nucleotides) under soil metagenome. RNAcentral describes it as "partial contains 5.8S ribosomal RNA, internal transcribed spacer 2, and large subunit ribosomal RNA". The stretch from base 1 to 120 matches the Rfam family "5.8S ribosomal RNA", at positions 35 to 154 of the family's 154-position model. The record is from RNAcentral.
GAUGAAGAACGUAGCGAACCGCGAUAAGUAAUGUGAAUUGCAGAAUUCAGUGAAUCAUCGAGUCUUUGAACGCACAUUGCGCCCCCUGGCAUUCCGGGGGGCAUGCCUGUCCGAGCGUCAUUGCUGCCCUUCAAGCCCGGCUUGUGUGUUGGGUCGUCGUCCCCCCCGGGGGACGGGCCCGAAAGGCAGCGGCGGCACCGCGUCCGGUCCUCGAGCGUAUGGGGCUUUGUCACCCGCUCGAUUAGGGCCGGCCGGGCGCCAGCCGGCGUCUCCAACCUUCUAUUUUACCAGGUUGACCUCGGAUCAGGUAGGGAUACCCGCUGAACUUAAGCAUAUCAAUAAGCGGAGGA